Molecule: ribosomal RNA, 1150 nt
Filed under: bacterium HS02
Lineage: Bacteria
Description: bacterial SSU rRNA
Rfam family: Bacterial small subunit ribosomal RNA
Source: RNAcentral
UUGUCAAUGGGGGGGAGGUUUUAAAAAAUGCAAGUCGAACGAUGACUCUCUAGCUUGCUAGAGAUGAUUAGUGGCGGACGGGUGAGUAACAUUUAGGAAUCUACCUAGUAGUGGGGGAUAGCUCGGGGAAACUCGAAUUAAUACCGCAUACGACCUACGGGUGAAAGGGGGCGCAAGCUCUUGCUAUUAGAUGAGCCUAAAUCAGAUUAGCUAGUUGGUGGGGUAAAGGCCCACCAAGGCGACGAUCUGUAACUGGUCUGAGAGGAUGAUCAGUCACACCGGAACUGAGACACGGUCCGGACUCCUACGGGAGGCAGCAGUGGGGAAUAUUGGACAAUGGGGGCAACCCUGAUCCAGCCAUGCCGCGUGUGUGAAGAAGGCCUUUUGGUUGUAAAGCACUUUAAGCAGGGAGGAGAGGCUAAUGGUUAAUACCCAUUAGAUUAGACGUUACCUGCAGAAUAAGCACCGGCUAACUCUGUGCCAGCAGCCGCGGUAAUACAGAGGGUGCGAGCGUUAAUCGGAAUUACUGGGCGUAAAGCGAGUGUAGGUGGCUCAUUAAGUCACAUGUGAAAUCCCCGGGCUUAACCUGGGAACUGCAUGUGAUACUGGUGGUGCUAGAAUAUGUGAGAGGGAAGUAGAAUUCCAGGUGUAGCGGUGAAAUGCGUAGAGAUCUGGAGGAAUACCGAUGGCGAAGGCAGCUUCCUGGCAUAAUAUUGACACUGAGAUUCGAAAGCGUGGGUAGCAAACAGGAUUAGAUACCCUGGUAGUCCACGCCGUAAACGAUGUCUACUAGCCGUUGGGGUCCUUGAGACUUUAGUGGCGCAGUUAACGCGAUAAGUAGACCGCCUGGGGAGUACGGGCCGCAAGGUUAAAACUCAAAUGAAUUUGACGGGGGCCCGCACAAGCGGUGGAGCAUGUGGUUUAAUUUCGAUGCAACGCGAAGAACCUUACCUGGUUCUUGACAUAGUGAGAUCCUUGCAGAGAUGCGGGAGUGCCUUCGGGAAUUCCACAUACAGGUGCUGCAUGGCCUGUCGUCAGCUCGUGUCGGGAAAUGUUGGGUUUAGUCCCGCAACCGAGCGCACCUUUUCCUUAUUUGCCAGCGGUAGCGGGGCUUAGAAACUGGCAAGUGACAACUGAGAGGCGGACACUC